Oreochromis aureus is the source of this 551-nucleotide long non-coding RNA. The record is from Ensembl. NCBI's taxonomy places the organism in Eukaryota, Metazoa, Chordata, Actinopteri, Cichliformes, Cichlidae.
AGGACAUCUACGAGGACAGAGAGAGUUUCCCAGCAUGCCUCAGGUAUGGAGGUGAAGGUGUAUGAUGGGGUGGAGUCUGUCCUGCUGCCCUGUCAGUUACCAGCUGAUGUUUCCAGUGACUUCUUAGCAGCAGUGUGGGACCGUGAGGAGCUCAAGGACCCAACAGUCCACGUGCGUCUGCAGAGUGGUGAUGAUUUUAAAGAUCAGAACGUUCGUUACACCAACCGAACAUCACUGAGAGCCGACGCUCUGCAGACUGGAGACCUCAGCCUCACUCUGAGGAACCCCACAGUCUCUGACAGUGGAAACUACACCUGCAACACCCGAGUAUUUAGAGGAAAUCAGAGCCAGAUCGAUAUCCAACUGAAGGUGACAGAACCUCCUGCAGUCUGGCCCAUAGUUCUCUCAGUUGUCCUGGUUUCUGUGGUUCUCCUGGCUGCUGGCUUUGGUGUCUUCAUGUAUCAUAGAUAUAAAAUGAUGAAGAGCAGAAAAGUCUAUCCAGUGGAGAUGGUUGAGGUGAAACAGGGGGAGGAGUCUGUCCAGCUGUGCUU